GGGUCGGUACCAGAGUGGUCAAAUGGGGUGGACUGUAAAUCCACUGGCUCAGCCUUCGGAAGUUCGAAUCUUCCCCGGCCCACAA
Molecule: transfer RNA, 85 nt
Filed under: Candidatus Magasanikbacteria bacterium CG10_big_fil_rev_8_21_14_0_10_43_6
Lineage: Bacteria; Candidatus Magasanikiibacteriota
Description: tRNA-Tyr
Rfam family: tRNA
About the family: Transfer RNA (tRNA) molecules are approximately 80 nucleotides in length.
Source: RNAcentral